This is a long non-coding RNA of Lolium rigidum, 1447 nucleotides long. RefSeq lists it as uncharacterized. The transcript is spliced from 5 exons. The record is from RefSeq and is a predicted model, not a curated record. NCBI's taxonomy places the organism in Eukaryota, Viridiplantae, Streptophyta, Magnoliopsida, Poales, Poaceae.
AGCGCUGAAUUGUGUAGCUUCAAGGUUUUGUGUCAGUUACAUAUUUUUGUGUCUGGCAUUUGAAUCUUAAUUUCUGACUACGAUAGCAGUUUAGAACACUUUUUGCUCUAAGUGAAACCUGACAAUAUUUACACCCUGAAUUGCUAUCAAACCUUUGCAAACAAUUAUAACCCAGAAGGUCAAAUAACCACAACAAAUAGUAGAGGCUGAAGAACAAACUGAGUCAUGCCCUUUAUCAAGUUUUUUUCUUCUUUUCUUUGAACUGUUCUACUGCUUUCUCGUAAAUUUGCUAAAAAUAGAACAGCAGAGCACCCACUAAAUUUGCUAAAAACAAAGCUAGGAGUUCAAUCAUGCUAUUUCAAUUUGUUCCCAUAUAUACAGUUUUCAUCGUAUUGCUGAGGAGACUAAUUGGUUUCCUAAUCAGAUCUACCAGGAGGUCUACAGAGAGGAGGAAUCUCAUAUACCAGAACUUCUCGACGUACAACAACCGAAAUGAUGUUGAUAAUUUGGAGAGUUCAAGACAAUCAUAUGAGAUACAGCCCUAUGUGCACAUGCCUUAUAUCAACAUGAACCUUAUAGGCCUUCAUGGUGUCUGAAUUCAGGAUACUAUCAGCCCUGCACUGAAGUGAUAGCUCCUGAAUAUAACAAUCAUCAUGAAUGCUAGGAUAUGUCAAGCUUAUUUAUGUCUCCAUUCUAUCCUCAACAAACACAAUCUUAUGGUAGUCUCACGGUGAUGAAAAUGUCUAAAUUGGAAGAGCAACUGGAACGUGCUUUCUGAAGAUAAUCACCAGAGAGCCAAAUUGGUAUGCACAACAAUGUGUGUGUGUGUGUGUGUGUGUGUGUUCUCGAUGGUUUGUUGCUAUAUGAAUCUGGAUCAGCAUACCCAUACCGUUUCCUGAAACCAGCCAAUUGAUUCAUGUGGGACUACAUGUGCGCCAUAAUAUCCUUUCCAUUUUUCCUUGUGAUUGAUGGGUGACCUUUUGGUGGAGUCGGCCAUUUUAUUUCUUGGAUCACUAAACUGAACAGAGAAAACUAUUUUCUGUUUUCAAAUGUUGUAGAUCGAAAUGUCAUAAUAUCCGGCAGAACCUUUUCGUUUUGCCAUCUAACCAGAUGGAAUCACAACUACCACUACCGCUAACUUUGGAUGACGCAAGUCAACUCCAACCUAGCACCAGAUACUGUAGAGGAGGGAGAUUGGCUAUGCUUUGGUUGGUGCUCAAAGUAUUUGUUUGAUCUGUGUUGGCAGGACAGCACAUUGCGAAGAGGCCCUAUGGGCAGCGGGCAGAGGCACUGGAAAUUUUCUUAGUAGGUAGUGCAUAAGCAAGUUAAGCCCUAUGAUGUCCUGCACUUUGAAAUUUCAGAUUCACCACUCAAGCAGGAAAAUGGAUGAAAUUUCUCAUUGAUAGGCCAAUGUAUGAUUCUAUGAUUCAUGAUAGGGUUCGACACU